UACGUAGGGGGCAAGCGUUGUCCGGAUUUAUUGGGCGUAAAGAGCUCGUAGGCGGUCUGUCGCGUCGAUCGUGAAAACUUGGGGCUUAACCCUGAGCUUGCGGUCGAUACGGGCAUGACUGGAGUUCGGCAGGGGAGACUGGAAUUCCUGGUGUAGCGGUGAAAUGCGCAGAUAUCAGGAGGAACACCGGUGGCGAAGGCGGAUCUCUGGGCCUUACCUGACGCUCAGGCGCGAAAGCUAGGGGAGCGAACUGG
Molecule: ribosomal RNA, 254 nt
Filed under: uncultured bacterium
Lineage: Bacteria
Description: partial 16S ribosomal RNA
Rfam family: Bacterial small subunit ribosomal RNA
Source: RNAcentral